CCUACGGGAGGCAGCAGUGGGGAAUAUUGGACAAUGGGCGAAAGCCUGAUCCAGCAAUGCCGCGUGAGUGAUGAAGGCCUUAGGGUUGUAAAGCUCUUUUACCAGGGAUGAUAAUGACAGUACCUGGAGAAUAAGCUCCGGCUAACUCCGUGCCAGCAGCCGCGGUAAUACGGAGGGAGCUAGCGUUGUUCGGAAUUACUGGGCGUAAAGCGUACGUAGGCGGUUAUUCAAGUCAGAGGUGAAAGCCUGGAGCUCAACUCCAGAACUGCCUUUGAAACUAGAUAGCUAGAAUCUUGGAGAGGUGAGUGGAAUUCCGAGUGUAGAGGUGAAAUUCGUAGAUAUUCGGAAGAACACCAGUGGCGAAGGUGACUCACUGGACAAGUAUUGACGCUGAGGUACGAAAGCGUGGGGAGCAAACAGGAUUAGAUACCCUGGUAGUCCACGCCGUAAACGAUGAUAACUAGCUGUUCGGGCUCUACGAGCUUGAGUGGCGCAGCUAACGCAUUAAGUUAUCCGCCUGGGGAGUACGGUCGCAAGAUUAAAACUCAAAAGGAAUUGACGG
This 562-nucleotide ribosomal RNA is filed under the name uncultured bacterium. RNAcentral's name for it is "bacterial SSU rRNA". It matches the Rfam family "Bacterial small subunit ribosomal RNA", at positions 338 to 916 of the family's 1533-position model. The record is from RNAcentral.